AACGAUGAAGGUGGUUAGCAAAGCGGCGAGUGCAGCGUGGCGCAUCAUCGGAGAAACAUGAACAACAUCGGAGAGAUUUUUUGUGUGGUGUUUUAUGCGUGGUUGCUGCAAUUGUUGAUGGCGGUUGCCGGAGUCACGGUGUUGAGUUGAAUAAUUUCGUUGAUGUUUGUUCACGGUUGAAGUGGAAGUUUUCUAGAAGGUUUACCGAAAUUCACGGCGGUGAGGUUGUUGUUGUUGUUGUUUAGAUCGUACAGUGCAUGGAGAGGAGGGUAGCAUUCUUGUGUGGCUCAUGUAACUCCCCGUGAAUCUGUGACAGUUUGACGGUCAUAAAGAGUUUCAAAAGGUGAUGAGAAGCUUUUGUUGAAAUCUGUUUGUGAUGGUUAAAGAAAUUGAUGAAUUUGUUGUUAAUUUAUUGUGGUGUUGUUUGGAGAAGAUGGAUAUUAUGUUAGGUUGUAAAUGAUGUUAGCUUGUAGGUGAUG
This 479-nucleotide long non-coding RNA is filed under the name Lathyrus oleraceus (garden pea). RNAcentral's name for it is "Pisum sativum (pea) long non-coding RNA (PSAT_LNC033765)". Lineage: Eukaryota; Viridiplantae; Streptophyta; Magnoliopsida; Fabales; Fabaceae. The record is from RNAcentral.